Melozone crissalis (California towhee) is the source of this 206-nucleotide long non-coding RNA. RefSeq lists it as uncharacterized. NCBI's taxonomy places the organism in Eukaryota, Metazoa, Chordata, Aves, Passeriformes, Passerellidae. The transcript is spliced from 3 exons. The record is from RefSeq and is a predicted model, not a curated record.
AGGCCGGGCCAAUCCCGGGAGGAGCUGUCGGCCAUCUUGGCCGCAGGGGCGGAGCCCGAAGUGCUGGUGUCAAUCAAGGCCCUGUGCAAGGCCAGGGAGGCGGAGCUCCAGAGGCCACACCCACACAGGCUGUACUGAUUGGCCACAGCCCAGAGGCGGUGCUUUGGGCGCUGGAGGUCCUGGCCAAUCAGAGCACAAGGUGGGUG